GUAGGUGAACCUGCGGAAGGAUCAUUAACACGUAUCCAACGUUAAAACAACCACAAUCCCUAGUAAAUCAUUGUUAAACAGCUUUUGAUUUAGGGACUUCUGCCACCUUGUCGAAAGAUUUUGUAGGUUUGAGGGCAGAGCAGCGACCUGGUACCCCGCUGCACAAUCAAAGUCUGUCAGUGUCUUUGAUUGUGUAAGGGUGUCGUAGAACAACGCUCGCUGUAGGCCGACACGGCCGGCGACCAGGUCUCCGGGUCACCACGCCCCUUAAUUACCCCACUUCUAAAACUGCGGUCGUGUUAAUUCUGACGAUCGAAAAAACUUUGAACAACUGUUAACAAUGGAUAUCUUGGUUCUC
This 358-nucleotide unclassified non-coding RNA is filed under the name rhizosphere metagenome. RNAcentral describes it as "partial ribosomal RNA internal transcribed spacer region". The record is from RNAcentral.